Long non-coding RNA from Eleginops maclovinus (Patagonian blennie), 850 nucleotides. RefSeq lists it as uncharacterized. The record is from RefSeq and is a predicted model, not a curated record. NCBI's taxonomy places the organism in Eukaryota, Metazoa, Chordata, Actinopteri, Perciformes, Eleginopidae. The transcript is spliced from 3 exons.
UAGAUUACCAUAACCAGUCGAAAGUCAAACUCUUGUCUUCUUCUUUAUGUUCGGGUUUUGGAAAGCGUCGUUAAGGUGCUUCAUCGCAACCUACUGCGUUGCAGCGUGGAUCACACAUACGUCCCAUUAUUUCAAAUACACACCUAUGACAAUACGUCACCAACAGGUGCAGGGAAGCUAACAUGCUAAAUGCUAAAACCCUCAUGGUGGACGUUCACCAUGAGGGUUUUCUGCUGUUUUGGACAAUAACCCCUGAUGUGACUGCAGACGCUCACUCUGCUCAACAGGUUUGAACACUUUGAGGGAUGGAUGUCCCCUGCACGUGCACAGCAAAUUAAGUCUAAGAAGGCCUAAGGUACUCAGCACUCACAGUCACACAGAGCUCUUCAAAAAGCGCUGUCGUAAAAUAUAGACAUUUACCGCCCCAGAGAGAGGAGCCAUUUACGUUUCACAAGAAAAGGUUUCUGGAGUCCUUAGAGAUUCUGGUCAGAGGCCUAAUGACACAGUUGCCAUGCAGCAGUUGGGUAAACACGACGGAGGCUCCCUGCCGGCUGCUGCAUGCGGUGACCUGGGAAUGAAGGCGCUCAGUCGUGCUGACUCGGUGAAUCUGAGCACCACAGAGGCUUGCUUGUCACACUGCCAACUAUUCGAUUUGUUUAGAGACACAAUAUGGCCGUCUUGGCUGUUUGCUGGAAAAGACGCCAGGGGAGCCGGUACUUGCCAGCCAACUUUCUCUUGUCGCUCUUUCUCUCUUAUUUUUCACUGUGAGGCCGCACUCUGCAGGGAGUGUUUGAAGAAGGAAAUGUGCUUUCAUGGAAUAUUCAAAGCCGUGAUCAAACAUCCAAUGUUC